Sporormia fimetaria CBS 119925 is the source of this 101-nucleotide non-coding RNA. The record is from the annotation of a GenBank genome assembly. Lineage: Eukaryota; Fungi; Ascomycota; Dothideomycetes; Pleosporales; Sporormiaceae.
GGCCACGUGGCCCAAUGGCAAGGCGCUUGACUACGAUUCGAGCUUUAAAUCCUCAAAGUCGUGAAAUCAAGAGAUUCCAGGUUCGACCCCUGGCGUGGUCA